RNAcentral lists this long non-coding RNA (525 nucleotides) under Haliotis rubra (blacklip abalone). RNAcentral's name for it is "uncharacterized LOC124277027". The record is from RNAcentral. Lineage: Eukaryota; Metazoa; Mollusca; Gastropoda; Lepetellida; Haliotidae.
GGAACAUUCCUCAGUUAUCUCCCUUUACUGCUUCGCCAAUAGAUGGCGCCAAUCACUACGGUCCUAAGUGUACUUCCGGCAUAAUGAUGGCGUUCAAAGUUUGUUGCACGGUCGAUUUCAAAUGCGCAGCAAUAUAACGAUGCCUGACUCGUGCUGCCGUGCCUCGAGAUGCUACAAUAGAGGUUCGACGUGUCCGAGAGGUCAAACCUUGCUGAAAUGGUGGUUGACUAUCAUUCGAAGUAGCGACGAAUGAACCAAAAGCAUGACGAGGUAGCCGUCAGCUCUCGCUGGUCUCACUCUCAGUGUUGUGUGCCAUUUCCACUUCUGACAGAGCGAUUUCGUUACUGUACCUAUUUAUGGUACCUGUUGUCCACAAAGAUGAGGCCCAGGUGAUUCCAGAAUACACAUGAUACAGGAUGAACACCUCUGAGACACAGAGAAAAACAGAUGUUUUCCCUGGACUGUAUCAGCUGACCCACUUAAUGCUGGUGGAUACUUGUGAUGUUCAAUGUAACAUCAGUGAGG